CUGGGAGGAGUUACGCAGGCAGGGUUGUGGUUGCUGGCUGUUACCAGGACAACCGGAGGCGAUUGACCGUUAUCUGCGGUUUGGAGCCGUUAGCGGGAGAGGCAGAGAUAUUCAGAGGUCUUUUAGGAUGCGCUAAAGGGUCGUGAGGGCUCUCUUAAAAUUUUCUUCACAAGCGGUUAUCCAGUCGUGCCCCGCGGCCCUGCUGCUGGCCCCGGGGAUCUGAGUCGUACCCUCUUGUUUUUCUCUGAGUCAGUCUUAAGGUGAAAUGAAGUGUGGCCCAGUGGCUCCUCACUGUCGCUUCUCUAGUUUUCUGCCUCCUUUUAGAAAAUUGAAUUGAAAAGACAGGAUGAAGUGGACACAGCAUGUGAAGACAAUUCUUUCAAGAAGUUUGGCUGUCAAGGAAAACAGAGAAUGUAUUA
Molecule: long non-coding RNA, 419 nt
Filed under: Homo sapiens (human)
Lineage: Eukaryota; Metazoa; Chordata; Mammalia; Primates; Hominidae
Description: non-protein coding lnc-CTDSP2-2:3
Source: RNAcentral